Molecule: non-coding RNA, 31 nt
Filed under: Mus musculus (house mouse)
Lineage: Eukaryota; Metazoa; Chordata; Mammalia; Rodentia; Muridae
Source: RNAcentral
ACCUGGAACUCACUGAUUCAGCUACAAUGGC